CCUACGGGCGGCAGCAGUGGGGGAUAUUGCACAAUGGGGGAAACCCUGAUGCAGCGACGCCGCGUGUGGGAAGACGGUCUUCUGGAUUGUAAACCACUGUCCCCAGGGACGAAAAUGACGGUACCUGGGGAGGAAGCUCCGGCUAACUACGCGCCACCAGCCGCGGUAAUACGUAGGGAGCAAGCGUUGUCCGGAAUUACUGGGUGAAAGGGGAGCGUAGUGGGUGAUGCAAGUUGGGUGUCAAAACUACCGGCUCAACCGAUAGUCGCACUCAAAACUGCAACUCUUGAGUGAAGUAGAGGCAGGCGGAAUUCCUAGUGUAGCGGUGAAAUGCGUAGAUAUUAGGAGGAACACCAGUGGCGAAGGCGGCCUGCUGGGCUUUUACUGACGCUGAGGCUCGAAAGUGUGGGGAGCAAACAGGAUUAGAUACCCGAGUAGUC
Molecule: ribosomal RNA, 440 nt
Filed under: uncultured bacterium
Lineage: Bacteria
Description: partial 16S ribosomal RNA
Rfam family: Bacterial small subunit ribosomal RNA
Source: RNAcentral